CGGAGGGUGCAAACGUUGCUCGGAAUCAUUGGGCGUAAAGCGAACGUAGGCGGCUAUCUAAGUCGGGUGUGAAAGCCCUCGGCUCAACCGAGGAAGUGCAUUCGAAACUGGAUGGCUAGAAUAUCGGAGAGGAUAGCGGAAUUCCCGGUGUAGAGGUGAAAUUCGUAGAUAUCGGGAGGAACACCAGUGGCGAAGGCGGCUAUCUGGACGAAUACUGACGCUGAAGUUCGAAAGCGUGGGGAGCAAACAGGAUUAGAUACCCUGGUAGUCCACGCCGUAAACGAUGAGUGCUAGGUGUCGCGGGUAUUGACCCCUGCGGUGCCGUAGUUAACGCAUUAAGCACUCCGCCUGGGGAGUACGGCCGCAAGGCUA
Molecule: ribosomal RNA, 372 nt
Filed under: uncultured organism
Description: bacterial SSU rRNA
Rfam family: Bacterial small subunit ribosomal RNA
Source: RNAcentral